UCACAGAAGAGCUGAACUCUGAGAUGAUCUAGUGCACUACUCCUCCUGUAGGGUACGAGAUGGGGUUGAUGUUCGAGUGCACUAAAUAUUUGACACGGAAUUGUUGCAGAUUCCUCUCACGACUUCCUGUAGUGUAACUUUGUUUCUAACUCUGUGAUUUCGUGACUUUAUCAUUUUUGAAACAUUUUCACAUUGUAAUCGUGUACAUUUCCAACACCAACCUUUCAGCAGUAGAAUUUUUUUUACAUUAUAAUAUUUUUCACUUUAUAUUUUUUUAAAACAUUUUAACAUUAUCAUUUUGUAACAGUCUUUUGACUUAUUUCUACAUUCUCAGUAAUUCUAAGAAUAAUGCGAGUAAUUCUUUUUACGCAAUCUAAACAUUGUGAUCUUGUGACGUUUUUUUUUUUUACUUUUAAACACAAAUUUUGUAACAUUUUUACAUGAGUAAGUUAUUUUGUACAUUAUCAUUUUGUAACAUUGUUAUCUUUUACUUUAUAUUUUUUACAUUUUAAUUUGAUACAUUUUUAACAUUAGUAACUUUUAAAAACAUUUUCACCUCAUAAUUUGAAAAACUUUUUAGCAUUAGUGAAUCUUUACGGUUAUAAUUUUGUAACAUAGUGCCCCGUGGUGCUUCAUGUUUAUAAUCUAAACUCUAAUAAUCUAUAGGAAGAGGGAAAUAAAGAGACUCAAAGCGGAGACACAAACUGGAACUCGUUUCAGAAAACCCGCAGCUGUACGUUUCCGCUGUAAAACUGCACGAACAACUGAACCAUUAUUUAUUGAUUGAUUUUUAAUAGAGAUGAUUUCAAGUUUUUUUUUUUUUUUUUUUUUUUUUUUUUUUAAGCUGAGAGCAACAAGGUGAUGUUCCUAAAUCUCUUAUUUCCACCCCCCCCCCCACCCCCCACCCCCCCACACACACACACACCGAUUUGCUCCAUUUCCAAUAAACCCCGGCUAUACUACAGUAUUUAAAGACACUGUCCACCUGUCACGCUAUAAAACGCAGAGAGACGUCUCAGGGAGACAGAACAUCACUAGGUAGUGCGCACUACAGCAGCGUUGAAGAGACAGAAGGACGCUUACCGUUGGUGGAGUGUAGACUUUCUAGGCUCCAGUAAUGAGACAUGACCCCUCGUAUCGCUUUCACCCCCCUAAUGACUCCCAAAUCUGCUGCUGUGUCUGCAUUCGGCCACACACACACACACACACACACACACACACACACACACACACAGUCGAGGAAGAAGAGGAGGGCGGCUGCUCUUCAAGCUGGUACAGACUCCAGACAAAUGUGUGUGUGUGUGUGUGUGUGUGUGCGCGCGCGUGUGUGUGCGUGCGUGCGUGUGUAUGUGAGAGCGAAUCACAACCUCCACUGGUAAAUUUCAAGCGUCAGAAACACUCACGAUGUCGCCUGCAUCCUUCCUACACUCGCUCACAGACUGAAACACACAUGAUCGAGCCUCUCCCUCUCUCUCUGGCUCCCUCUCGCUUUCACACACACACACUCACACACACACACACACACUCACAGCAUCAACAGGGAGCCACUGAGGAGACGCGGACACACGAUUUACACAAGCUUAAGUUCAAGCUCGACUUGCCAACCCUGAAUAUUAAUAUAGAAUACUGAAUGAGAGAUGAUACGCACACGUUUAUUAAAAUAAAAGAAGACAUUUUUAAUGAUUAGAAAGGGAACUGGCUGGCGAUGAAAAAAGACCGUCUUCAUCCGUGCAUCACAGUCCCCCCGUACUGACCCCCUUCAGUGCUGUUACUCAAACCGAGGAGAGAAUUCAACCCGCACGUCCGAGUGCACUUAUUUAUCCACUACAGGUUCAUCCCUGAACACGUCUAGUGCACGUCUAAGCGUGUAGAAGACAGUCACACGUGCACACGUGCCUGGAGAAAAAAGCCGUUUCUGUAAGCAGUGUCAACAAUUCAUACAUCACCCACUGCACUCGUACAGGAGUGACAAAGAGCUUCCUGCAGAACGUCUCCACUACGCAGGGUUCGGAACCCACGUCCUACAGGGCUGAAGAGGUUCUGCAACGCCUCACUGAACACCUCGCGCACUAGCGCAGGGCGAAUCCCGUCAUCUGCUCAUUUAUCACAGCGUCAGAAGCUCACGCGGGUUUUAAUUAACGCUUAACGAGUAAACUAUUCCAAUUAAGAUUCAAUCAAAUGUAACGCUAUAAAACUGACACUAACUCCAAAAAUAAACACCAUAAACCUGUAAACAGAACAAAUAUUAGCAUUUUAUUCCUCUUUAUAAUACGAUUGUAACAUUGUAAUUCAUUUAAAUUCAUUUACUUACUCAAGCCGCAUACUGUACACCACAAAAUUAUGACUUUUACAUCCUAUAUAUAUAUAUAUAUAUAAAUAAAACAGACAGACAGAUGGAUAAAUUAGACAGACAGAAGAACAGAGUCGUGUACAGCGGUGCUGGAAAGUUUGUUUGAAAGAAUUUGACAUUUCUGCAUAAAUCUGAUCUAAAACAUGAUCAGAUUUUCACACGAGUCCUGAAAGUAGAUAAAGAACCCGAUUAAACAACAAUAUUAUACUUGUUCAUUUAUUUAUCGAGGAAAGUGAUCCAGUAUUACAGAUCUGUGAGGAGUAAAAGUAUGUGCACCUCUAGGAUUAUCAGUUAAUGUGAAGGUGAGAUUGGAGUCCGGUGUUUUCAGUCAGUGGGAUGAUGAUCAGGUGUGUGUGAGUGAGCGAGCGAGCGAGCGUCCUGUUUUAUUUAAAGAACAGGGAUCUAUCAGAGUCUGAUCUUCACGACACGUGUCUGCGGAAGUGGAUCACGGCACGAGCGAAGGAGAUUUCCGAGGACCUCAGGGAAAGAGUUGUCGAAGCUCAUCAGGAUGGAAAAUGUCACAGAACCAUCUGUAAAGAGUUUGGACUCCACCCAUCCACAGCCAGACAGAUCGUGUAGAAACGGAGGAAAUUCACCACCAUCGUUCCCCUCCACAGGAGUGGAGACCAACGAAGAUCUCUCCAAGAGCCAGACGUGGAAUCGUCCACCAGGUCACAGAGGAACCCAGGGGAACUCCUCUCACACUGGCUAAUGUUAACGUUCAUGAGUCCACCAUCAGGAGAACACUGAACACCAAUGGAGUGCAUGUCAGGGCUGCGAGGAGAAAACCACCGCUCUCCAAAAAGAACAUUUCUGUCCUUCUGCAGUUUGAAAACGAUCACGCGGACGAGACGGAAGACCGAUGGAAAAAUAUUCUGUGGAUGGAUGAAUAGACCAAAAGAGAACUUUUUGGUUUAAAUGAGAAGCAUUGUGUUUGAAGAAAGGUGCACAUACUUUUACUCCGCACAGAUCUGUGAUAUCGGAUCAUUUCCCUCAAUAAAUAAAUGAACAAGUAUAAUAUUUUCAUCUCGUUUGUUUAAUCGGGUUCUCCUUAUCAUCUUUUAGGACUUGUGUGAAAAUCUGAUGAUGUUUUACGUCAUUUAUGCAGAAAUUUCUUAAAUUCCAAAGGGUUCACAAACUUUCAAGCACCACUGUAGUUAUCAGACAUUAAUUUAAAAGGUUUAUUUACUUGUGUUCAACAUUCAGGAGGAAACCAUGAAGCUAAUUAUCUCAUUAUUAUUAUUAUAGUUAAAUAAACCUGUCCCGACCCUCUUAACAUGAGCGUGUCUCUUUAAAUAAUCGGCACUUUUAAAUGACAGGAUUUUUUUGUUUAGAUUACUAAACAGCAGUCAUUUUUUUAAAUGUUAAAAUUAGUUUCUCUGAGCGGAGCUUUAAAAGGCCUAAAAAUCCUCUGUUAAUUUAAUAAUGAUUAUUUUUCGAGUUUAUUUGAGAACCUGAGGCAAGAGCAUCAGAAAAAAACACUAAAAAUCAUUUAUAAAUUAGUUUAAAAACAGGUGACUGACCAAAACUGAGCAAAAACAUGAAAGAAGAGAAGAAUAAAAAAGUAAAACAUGAUAUUAUGACACUGCUGAGACGUGAGACAAGGGACGUCUGAGAGUUCACGUGAGCGUAGAAAGAAACUCGUCGCGUGAUGAUGAUGUCACAGCGCUUUUCCUGUUUUCUCUCUCUGUGAUUUCCCCAACAGCAGCUGCUGGAUAAACUCUGUACCAUCGCACAAUUUAAAGAACGUUUACUCACCGAGAGCGGCCGGCUGCGCGAGUGUGUGCUCUGAAGGUCGGACGAGACACGACUCUGCAGACAGAAACAUGAGCGUGUCACUUCCUUUCACUUCAGUAAUUACUCUCCCUCACUCUUCCACACACACUCGGAGUCACAGAGAACAGCUAAGAGACGAGUGUGACGUGUGUUAGCUGUGUGCUAGCUGUGUCUUAACCGUGCCCUAGCUGUGUGUUAGCCAUGCGCUAGCCGUGUGUUAACCGUGCGCUAGCUGUGUGUUAGCCGUGCGCUAGCUGUGUGUUAGCCGUGCGCUAGCUGUGUGUUAGCCAGGUGCUAGCACAGUGAUGUGAAAGGAUCAGCUCACUGUGCUGCGUCCAUAAAGGUCACGGUGUGGGACAGAAAUGUUACACAGCAAUAAUGGACUUCUUGUUUCUUCUCAAAGGAGCCUGUAUUUCAUCCAAUAUUCACUAACACACACACACACACACACACACACACACACACACACACACACACACACACACACACACGCCUACAGAAGUGUUUACACAUGGACAGAAUGACAGGCCUAGAUCAACAGAGAAUCAGACAGAGAGAGAGACACUGACUCAAGACAGAUAGACAGAGCAACAGUGAGACAGAUAGAAAGAACAGAUAUACAGUUAGACACAGACUGUUAGACAGCCAAAAUAAACAGAGAGACAGUUAUACAGACAGACAGACAGACAGAUAGUAAGAUAGAGAGACAGACAGGCAGAUAAACAGACAGAAAUUUAGACACAGAGAGAGAGAGAGAGAGAAACAGACCGAAUACUUGGAAAAACACAUUACACGUGCACGCACGCACACACACACACACACACACACACACACACACACACACACACACCAGUGUUUAAAAGUUUUGUUUAAAGUCAUCGUCGCCCCCUACAGGACAAUCAGUGUGACACAGUUGAUAUUAAUUAUGUUUUAUGAUGAUUAUAUAGAAACAUCGCAUCACUAAUAUCGCCAAAAUAAAUAAAUAAAAAGAAAUAAAAAUCAGAUUACAGAAAUAAACAAUAACAAAUUCUUGAUUUAUAUCUAAAAAAAAAAACACCACGACUUUAUUUUCAUGAAUGUCCCAGACUACAGGAGCGUACUGCUGAAACAUCAGAGCUUUAAUAACAGUGGAGUGUGACGUGUCAGCACAACGCCUCGGCAACCCCACAGUCUAAUAUUAAGUGCAACUGAACGUAUCGCUCACUCGGUCCUCACCUGAGAAUGAAACUGGGCGUGGCCAGUGGAGACAGUCCAGUCCAAUCGGACUCAUCUGAGCACGAUCUCUUCUGCGCCUUAGCCGUCCAAUUAUCUGUGACGUUCCUCUCCUGAAUCGCACCGGCCGCCGUCUCUCCGAUUUCCCGCAGAGGUAAAGUCCAGCUGCAGAGGUCAGAGACCGGUCUGGGUCGGACCACACGCCGAUCGCGUCUUCUGACACGGAGCACGGACGAAGAUGACUGGAGAGAUGAUGUACCACC
Ictalurus punctatus (channel catfish) is the source of this 5601-nucleotide long non-coding RNA. The record is from Ensembl. NCBI's taxonomy places the organism in Eukaryota, Metazoa, Chordata, Actinopteri, Siluriformes, Ictaluridae.